GACCUGUUGGUGCAGAUGGCAGCACACCCACAAUAAUUUGGUAUGCAAGGCGAUCGUUAUGUGGGAGACCCCAGUUCGACUCUGGGAUGGGUCA
Molecule: non-coding RNA, 94 nt
Organism: Mycena rebaudengoi
Lineage: Eukaryota; Fungi; Basidiomycota; Agaricomycetes; Agaricales; Mycenaceae
Source: the annotation of a GenBank genome assembly